Molecule: ribosomal RNA, 465 nt
Filed under: uncultured bacterium
Lineage: Bacteria
Description: partial 16S ribosomal RNA
Rfam family: Bacterial small subunit ribosomal RNA
Source: RNAcentral
GACGAACGCUGGCGGCGUGCUUAACACAUGCAAGUCGAACGGAAAGGCCCCUUUGGGGGUACUCGAGUGGCGAACGGGUGAGUAACACGUGAGUAACCUGCCCUUGACUUCGGGAUAACUUCAGGAAACUGGGGCUAAUACCGGAUAGGAAUCCUUGCUGCAUGGUGGGGGUUGGAAAGCUUCGGCGGUUUUGGAUGGACUCGCGGCUUAUCAGCUUGUUGGUGGGGUAGUGGCUUACCAAGGCUUUGACGGGUAGCCGGCCUGAGAGGGCGACCGGCCACAUUGGGACUGAGAGACGGCCCAGACUCCGACGGGAGGCAGCAGUGGGGAAUAUUGCACAAGGGGCGGAAGCCGGAUGCAGCAACGCCGCGGGCGGGAUGACGGCCUUCGGGUUGUAAACCGCUUUCAGCAGGGGCGAAGCUUGUGGUGACGGUACCUGCAGAAGAAGCACCGGCUAACUACGUG